UGGGGAAUAUUGCACAAUGGGCGAAAGCCUGAUGCAGCGACGCCGCGUGAGGGAUGAAGGCCUUCGGGUUGUAAACCUCUUUCAGUAGGGAAGAAGUUGGCCCUUUUUGGGGUUGGUGACGGUACCUGCAGAAGAAGCGCCGGCUAACUACGUGCCAGCAGCCGCGGUAAUACGUAGGGCGCAAGCGUUAUCCGGAAUUAUUGGGCGUAAAGAGCUCGUAGGCGGUUUGUCGCGUCUGUCGUGAAAGUCCGGGGCUUAACCCCGGAUCUGCGGUGGGUACGGGCAGACUAGAGUGCAGUAGGGGAGACUGGAAUUCCUGGUGUAGCGGUGAAAUGCGCAGAUAUCAGGAGGAACACCGAUGGCGAAGGCAGGUCUCUGGGCUGUAACUGACGCUGAGGAGCGAAAGCAUGGGGAGCGAACA
RNAcentral lists this ribosomal RNA (421 nucleotides) under uncultured Micrococcaceae bacterium. Its description in RNAcentral is "bacterial SSU rRNA". It matches the Rfam family "Bacterial small subunit ribosomal RNA", at positions 355 to 774 of the family's 1533-position model. Lineage: Bacteria; Bacillati; Actinomycetota; Actinomycetes; Micrococcales; Micrococcaceae. The record is from RNAcentral.